Molecule: ribosomal RNA, 253 nt
Filed under: uncultured bacterium
Lineage: Bacteria
Description: partial 16S ribosomal RNA
Rfam family: Bacterial small subunit ribosomal RNA
Source: RNAcentral
UACGUAGGGGGCAAGCGUUGUCCGGAAUCAUUGGGCGUAAAGAGCGUGUAGGCGGCCCGGUAAGUCCGCCGUGAAAGUCCAGGGCUCAACCCUGGGAUGCCGGUGGAAACUGUCGGGCUCGAGUCCGGAAGAGGCGAGUGGAAUUCCUGGUGUAGCGGUGAAAUGCGCAGAUAUCAGGAGGAACACCAAUAGCGAAGGCAGCUCGCUGGGACAGUACUGACGCUGAGACGCGAAAGCGUGGGGAGCGAACAGG